CAGUGUGCUGUGACGAAACACUUGUGGACUAGAGUUUCUGAUCUGAGAAUUUACUCAGAAGUUGAUUAUGAAACCCUUGGCUGUCCGAGCACACCA
This 96-nucleotide small nucleolar RNA is filed under the name Phaseolus vulgaris (common bean). Its description in RNAcentral is "snoRNA snoZ157". It matches the Rfam family "Small nucleolar RNA Z157/R69/R10". Rfam says of the family: Z157, R69 and R10 are members of the C/D class of snoRNA which contain the C (UGAUGA) and D (CUGA) box motifs. Most of the members of the box C/D family function in directing site-specific 2'-O-methylation of substrate RNAs. Lineage: Eukaryota; Viridiplantae; Streptophyta; Magnoliopsida; Fabales; Fabaceae. The record is from Rfam by way of RNAcentral.